Molecule: long non-coding RNA, 720 nt
Organism: Nannospalax galili (Upper Galilee mountains blind mole rat)
Lineage: Eukaryota; Metazoa; Chordata; Mammalia; Rodentia; Spalacidae
Exons: 3
Source: RefSeq, a predicted model, not a curated record
UGUAUACACAGGUGUACCUGCACACCCAUACAAACAUUUUUUGAAAACCUCUGUCCUCAACUACAUGUCCCUAUCCAGCCUCGUCACUACAACACCGCUCGCCCUCCAGCUCUGCCAUGCUCUGUCCUGCCCUUAUCUUACAUCCUGGGGCCCUCAGAGACCUUGUGACCAGGAGGCUAACAUAUCCUCAGACAGGAUCAUCACCUGGGAGCUAUGCAGGCUUCAUAAAGCACACUCCUGACUUUGUAGUGAAAGUGGAAAAGGCUGUCUCAGCUAAAUUCUGAUUUGUUUUCAGAUUUUAUGAAGAAUUCCCAAUUAACCUGAAGACUGGGGAAGCCAAUCUCACCCAGCUCUACUUACAGGAAGCCCUGGACUUCAUCCAGACACAGCAUGCGAGACGGAGCCCCUUCUUCCUGUACUGGGCCAUCGAUGCCACUCACGCACCUGUUUAUGCCUCAAGACCUUUCUUGGGUACUAGCCAGCGAGGACGGUACGGGGAUGCUGUUCGGGAAAUUGAUGACAGUAUUGGGAAAAUCCUGAGCCUUCUGCAGAACCUGGGCAUUGGGGAGAACACAUUUGUCUUCUUCACAUCUGAUAAUGGUGCGGCCCUCAUUUCUGCUCCCAAAGAAGGCAAGUGUUGGCUCUUUUCCUCAGGCCCAAGGGUAGUGGCUGGAAGGCUCACAGACUGAGGCUUCCCAGGGUAGAGCAUCCAGCAGCAAG